Molecule: long non-coding RNA, 1684 nt
Organism: Triticum aestivum (bread wheat)
Lineage: Eukaryota; Viridiplantae; Streptophyta; Magnoliopsida; Poales; Poaceae
Exons: 3
Source: RefSeq, a predicted model, not a curated record
CCCCGGAAUUCUCACGAUCACGUUUGGACGCCCACAAGGAAGGAGUACCCCUGGCCUUUCCCCGGCCUUUCCCCGGGAAAGGCUCCCACGAGUGCAGACGUCGGGGAGGAAACCCUCGCUCGUUCUGUCUCGCACUCGUGAACGACUGGCGGCGGCGGCGACUGGAAAACCUCCUCCGUCCACCGCUCUGGUCUGCCUCCGUCCACCGCUCCUGCCUCCUCCGACCGGCGACUGCGACGCCCCCUGCCCUCCUCCCUUCGACGCUCUGCCCCUCCGGAUGGGGUGACGGGGCCGGGGUCGCCAUCCUACUACUUCCCGGAUCUCGUCUCCGCCCCCAAGAUCUUCACCUUCCGAUGACGACGACGGCCAGGAGAUCAUGCUCCUCUUCGUCCAAGAUCCAAGAGCCCUCUCUCCUGUUUGAGUUUUGUAUCACAAGAACCAAUACGAAAGAACAUCCAUCGUUUGCAGUAGUGUUUCUACCUAACUAUCAUGGCCUCACAACAAAGCCAAUUGAUAGUAUUAUCGAUGCAGUGCUGUUAAGUCAUCAAUUACUAAUAUACUGUUAGAAAAUGGCCUUUACUGAUUGAAGGAGAAAAUUGCUACCAAGGAGAAAACAUAAGGUAUGUAAUUUUGAAGUACCAAUUUAGAGGUGCAGUUUUAUGUUUUCUUCCAUUGGGCAUUUUACAAUUUGUUCAUGAAUUUGCACAUGCUAACUAUAAGUAGAUGAAUAUCUUGUGGAGAAAACAGAGGGUGUAUACAAAUGAGUUCAUGCUCUUGUCAGUUUUUCUUUGUGGAAUUACCAUGUCGGCGCUGGUGGCAUUGAACGUGUCGACGAUGGGGGCAAUGCCAUCCUUGACGAUUCAGUUCAGGAUCCCCCACUUGGCGGCGUCCUUGGCGCUGUAGCUCUCUUUCGGGUUCAGCCCGCAGCCGACGGAGACGACCAUGAACUUGCCGUAUGUUGGAAUAAACCCAAGUCCGCACCUAGUAUAUUUCUCUGCCAUGGUAGGCACUUCUGUUUUGCUGCCAUGCAGCGUUUUUAGCUAGUGUCUAGUUUUCAGUUUCAGUCUUUCUUCAGUCAAUCUAUUAGCAAGUUUAGCUAGAGUAGGUAGUCGCCAGGAGCGAUUCUGGCGUCCACUCUGAUCGCUUGUGGGAUGGAAUUUUUUCCAGUUGUAGCUCAUUUUUCAUUAGCUGAUACCUUCAGUUAUCGUAUACCAAUGUCCUUCUCUGAGCCCGUUUUUCAGUUGCAGCUUUGAAUAAAUUCAGUGAAUUUAGUUUCAUGACGAGAUUAUACAAAGCGAAGCAGUUGGUUAGUAGUAAUCCUUUAAACAUAAUACAAUAUCGAGGAGAAAAGCUGUGACGAGCUUGUCAUUAGUGCCAUCCGGUGCAUAUUAUUCUGAACAUUAUACAAUAUUACAAUUGGAAUAUUUUUUAUACAAUCGAAAAGCUCAAAAGGCUAUUUUCAAACUAGUUUCAGUCUAACAUUCGUUUCUUGCGAAAUGAUGGCUUUCAUGCCGUGGUCAUCUAGGAAUUAAAGAGAACAAUAUUAUACAUAUAAGAACACAAAUAGGUGUGUGCUUAUUACGUUUGCAUCUAUUUCAUUGGGAACAUGGAUAUAAAUAAAUAUAUGUGCUUAUAUAUAGUUUAAAAUUUAUAUUGUAUAGUGACUACGUUGUUGUUUUUUGCU